This 325-nucleotide ribosomal RNA is filed under the name uncultured bacterium. RNAcentral's name for it is "bacterial SSU rRNA". It matches the Rfam family "Bacterial small subunit ribosomal RNA", at positions 28 to 354 of the family's 1533-position model. The record is from RNAcentral.
GACGAACGCUGGCGGCGUGUAUUAGGCAUGCAAGUCGAGCGACGAACCGGCUUCGGCCGGGGAAAGCGGCGGACGGGUGAGUAACACGUGGGUAACCUGCCCCGUGGUGGGGGAUAACCUGCCGAAAGGUGGGCUAAUACCACAUACCACCUCCGGUGAGAGUCCGGACGGUGAAAGCCGCAAGGCGCCACGGGAGGGGCCCGCGGCCGAUUAGCUAGUUGGUAGGGUAACGGCCUACCAAGGCGACGAUCGGUAGCUGGCCUGAGAGGGUGGUCAGCCACACGGGGACUGAGACACGGCCCCGACUCCUACGGGAGGCAGCAUG